ACCAUACUCUAUUAGUAUAGACCCCUUUGUACUCAUAACUUUUUUAUCGUUAGAUCUAUACUUUUGACCAUUUCCAUCCGUAAAUCAUACAAUUCAACCAACCACCCACUCAAUCCUAGGGGACCACUAUUAUCCUAAUUGCACAUCCAAUGACGAAAAAUUUAUAAGCAUAAAGGGGUCUAUACUCAUAAGAAUAUAGUAGCCCUAGCCUAUAUAUAUAGAAUUAGGUUACAAUAUUAUUAAUAGUAUCAACUACUUGCUAUUAGGUUUUCGGCCCUUAGAUGAAGGGAUGUGUGGUCAGGAUGAUAGUAGCCCCAUAGAGUUGAGGAGGUGGGUAAUUGAAUAGUAAGAUCUAACGGAUGAAAAUGACCAAAGGGGUAAAUCUAACGGCAGAAAGUUCGAUAGCACAAACGAUAGGAUAGUAACCGAACUCUAUAUUUAUAGGUAGAUCUAACGGCAGAAAACUCGAUAGCACAAAACAAUUAGUACUAUAGAUAGUAUAAUAGCCGGACUAUAUAUAUAGAGAGAGAGUUCGGCUAGUAUAUUAUCGAUAAUACUAAAUGCUUAGUGCUGUCGAAUUUUGUGCCGUUAGAUCUAUCCGUUUGACCAGUUUCACUCAAUAGAUCAUACUAUUCAGCUAACCACCCACUCAACUCUAGGAAAUCACUAUCAUCCUAACAGCACAUCCCUUCAUCCAAGAGUUGAAGACCUAAUAGCAAGUGGUUGGUACUAUUAAUAAUAUAGUAUACUUUUUCUAUAUAUAUAUAUAUAUA
RNAcentral lists this long non-coding RNA (773 nucleotides) under Ananas comosus (pineapple). RNAcentral describes it as "long non-coding RNA (ACOM_LNC003060)". Lineage: Eukaryota; Viridiplantae; Streptophyta; Magnoliopsida; Poales; Bromeliaceae. The record is from RNAcentral.